AUUGAACGCUGGCGGCAGGCCUAACACAUGCAAGUCGAGCGAGCGGCGGACGGGUGAGUAAUGUCUGGGAAACUGCCUGAUGGAGGGGGAUAACUACUGGUAACGGUAGCUAAUACCGCACACCAUCAGAUGUGCCCAGAGGGGAUUAGCUAGUAGGUGGGGUAAUGGCUCACCUAGGCGAAGAGCCCUAGCUGGUCUGAGAGGAUGAACAGUCAAACUGGAACGUAGACACGGUCCAGACUCCUACGGGAGGCAGCAGUGGGGAAUAUUGCACAAUGGGCGAAAGCCUGAUGCAGCCAUGCCGCGUGUAUGAAGAAGGCCUUCGGGUUGUAAAGUACUUUCAGCGGGGAGGCGUUACCCGCAGAAGAAGCACCGGCUAACUCCGUGCCAGCAGCCGCGGUAAUUC
This 406-nucleotide ribosomal RNA is filed under the name uncultured bacterium. RNAcentral describes it as "partial 16S ribosomal RNA". It matches the Rfam family "Bacterial small subunit ribosomal RNA", at positions 30 to 526 of the family's 1533-position model. The record is from RNAcentral.